This 1158-nucleotide ribosomal RNA is filed under the name Triticum aestivum (bread wheat). RNAcentral describes it as "partial small subunit ribosomal RNA". Lineage: Eukaryota; Viridiplantae; Streptophyta; Magnoliopsida; Poales; Poaceae. The record is from RNAcentral.
AUUUGUACUGAUCUUGACUGGGUUGUGGUGAAACCACAGCCGGUCAGACCCACAGAGCCAGUAAGAGAGGCCACUGAUGAUGAUGCUGCAUGGGCUAAAAAGAAGGGGGACUAUGCUCCUUUGGAGCAGUCCUACCUCAUAGAUAACCAAAAGUGGGUCAAUGCAAACAAAAAGUGCAUGGCUUUUAUAAAGAAUACAAUUGAGAGCGCCAUUGUGGGCUCCAUUCCAGAGUGCACUUUCGCAUGGGAGUUGCUUACAAAGAUAAAGAGCCAGUUCACUGGCUCUUCAAAGAUCUAUGCCACCCAGGUGUUAGAGCAACUGGUGACAGAACGCUACACAGGUGGUAGUCGUGGAAUAAGAGAGCACAUCCUCAGGAUGAGUAAUAUGGCAGCAAAGCUCAAGCCCAUGGAUGCGGAUCUGGAGAUCAAACCAGCGCUCCUGGUCCACCUGGUCAUGGCUUCACUGCCACAGGAGUUUGCAACUUUUGUUGUAAACUAUAAUAUGUCACCUGGAACAUGGGACAUUGAAAAGACAAUAGCAAUGUGUGUCCAAGAAGAGGACAGACUCAAAGCCGCACAUGGUGGUUCAAUCAACUAUGUGAAGGAUUGGAAGAAAAAGAACUACAAUCAAAACAACAAAAGUUCUCCUUCAAAGAAUGGAAAAGCCCCCUAUCAGCAUCAGCAUCAGCAACAACCUUUCUCAGUGGACAAAGACACGUGUCUCCACUGCAAGCAGAAAGGGCAUUACAAGAAAGACUGCGCUGCUUGGCUGAAGUCAGUCAUGGCAAAAAGAGGUAACAACAUAGUUUCAUUUGUCAAUGAAUCCUUGUAUACACAGUUUUCAAAAUCCACCUGGUGGAUUGAUUCCGGAGCAACUGUUCAUGUUGCAAAUUCUUUACAGGGAUUCCAUUCGACGCGAACUACGCUAAGAAGCGAAAGACGCAUUGAAGUGGCAAACGGAGUUGAAGCAGAAGUUGAAGCUGUCGGUGAUAUCUCCUUGGAGUUAGCUGGCGGAUUCAAUCUUCUACUUAGAGAUGUUUUAUUUGUUCCAUCAUGUCAUAGAAACUUAAUUAGUGUUUCUUGUUUGGACAAAGAUAAUUAUGAAUGUCAUUUUGGACAUGGCAAGUGUGCCAUUUGGUAUAAUAAUGCUUAUGUGGGU